This 253-nucleotide ribosomal RNA is filed under the name uncultured bacterium. RNAcentral's name for it is "partial 16S ribosomal RNA". It matches the Rfam family "Bacterial small subunit ribosomal RNA", at positions 524 to 776 of the family's 1533-position model. The record is from RNAcentral.
UACGUAGGGUGCAAGCGUUGUCCGGAAUUAUGGUGCGUAAAGAGCUCGUAGGCGGUUUGUCGCGUCUGCUGUGAAAACCCGAGGCUCAACCUCGGGCCUGCAGUGGGUACGGGCAGACUAGAGUGCGGUAGGGGAGAUUGGAAUUCCUGGUGUAGCGGUGGAAUGCGCAGAUAUCAGGAGGAACACCAAUGGCGAAGGCAGAUCUCUGGGCCGUAACUGACGCUGAGGAGCGAAAGCAUGGGGAGCGAACAGG